GCUCAGGUGGCGGAAUUGGUAGACGCACAGGACUUAAAAUCCUGUGGGCUUUACGCCCGUGGGGGUUCGAUUCCCCCUCUGAGUA
Molecule: transfer RNA, 85 nt
Filed under: Ignavibacteriota bacterium
Lineage: Bacteria; Pseudomonadati; Ignavibacteriota
Also listed under: 1 other name
Description: Ignavibacteriae bacterium (activated sludge metagenome) tRNA-Leu
Rfam family: tRNA
About the family: Transfer RNA (tRNA) molecules are approximately 80 nucleotides in length.
Source: RNAcentral